RNAcentral lists this ribosomal RNA (464 nucleotides) under uncultured bacterium. Its description in RNAcentral is "partial 16S ribosomal RNA". It matches the Rfam family "Bacterial small subunit ribosomal RNA", at positions 338 to 794 of the family's 1533-position model. The record is from RNAcentral.
CCUACGGGAGGCAGCAGUCUAGAAUAUUGCGCAAUGGGGGAAACCCUGACGCAGCGACGCCGCGUGGAGGAUGAAAUCCCUCGGGAUUUAAACUCCUUUCGUGAGGGAAGAAAUCAAGCAGGUAAAUAAUCUGCUUGGAUGACGGUACCUCAAGAAGAAGCCCCGGCUAACUACGUGCCAGCAGCCGCGGUAAAACGUAGGGGGCGAGCGUUGUCCGGAAUUACUGGGCGUAAAGAGCUCGUAGGCGGAAAAAUAAGGCAGAGGUAAAAUUCCAAGGCUUAACCUGGAAACUGCCUUUGAAACUAUUUUUCUAGAGUGUAGAAGAGGAUGGUGGAAUUCCCGAUGUAGCGGUAAAAUGCGCAGAUAUCGGGAGGAACACCGGUGGCGAAAGCGGCCAUCUGGUCUAUUACUGACGCUGAGGAGCGAAAGCUAGGGGAGCAAACAGGAUUAGAUCCCCCGGUAGU